UACGUAGGGGGCAAGCGUUGUCCGGAAUCAUUGGGCGUAAAGAGCGUGUAGGCGGUCCGGUAAGUCGGCUGUGAAAGUCCAGGGCUCAACCCUGGGAUGCCGGUCGAUACUGCCGGACUAGAGUUCGGAAGAGGCGAGUGGAAUUCCCUGUGUAGCGGUGAAAUGCGCAGAUAUCGGGAGGAACACCUAUGGCGAAGGCAGCUCGCUGGGACGUUACUGACGCUGAGACGCGAAAGCGUGGGGAGCGAACAGG
This 253-nucleotide ribosomal RNA is filed under the name uncultured bacterium. Its description in RNAcentral is "partial 16S ribosomal RNA". It matches the Rfam family "Bacterial small subunit ribosomal RNA", at positions 524 to 776 of the family's 1533-position model. The record is from RNAcentral.